Molecule: ribosomal RNA, 305 nt
Filed under: uncultured bacterium
Lineage: Bacteria
Description: bacterial SSU rRNA
Rfam family: Bacterial small subunit ribosomal RNA
Source: RNAcentral
GUGACCUACGGGACGCAGCAGUAGGGAAUCUUCCACAAUGGGCGAAAGCCUGAUGGAGCAACGCCGCGUGGGUGAAGAAGGUCUUCGGAUCGUAAAACCCUGUUGUUAGAGAAGAAAGUGCGUGAGAGUAACUGUUCACGUUUCGACGGUAUCUAAACAGAAAGCCACGGCUAACUACGGGCCAGCAGCCGCGGUAAUACGUAGGUGGCAAGCGUUAUCCGGAUUUAUUGGGCGUAAAGGGAACGCAGGCGGGCUUUUAAGUUUGAUGUGAAAGCCUUCGGCUUAACCGGCGUAGUGCAUUGGAA